UACGUAGGGUGCGAGCGUUGUCCGGAAUUACUGGGCGUAAAGGGCUCGUAGGCGGCCAACUAAGUCAUACGUGAAAUCCCUCAGCUUAACUGGGGAACUGCGUCUGAUACUGGAUGGCUUGGAUUCGGGAGAGGAAUGCGGAAUUCCAGGUGUAGCGGUGAAAUGCGUAGAUAUCUGGAGGAACACCGGUGGCGAAGGCGGCAUUCUGGACCGACAUUGACGCUGAGGAGCGAAAGCGUGGGGAGCGAACAGG
RNAcentral lists this ribosomal RNA (253 nucleotides) under uncultured bacterium. RNAcentral's name for it is "partial 16S ribosomal RNA". It matches the Rfam family "Bacterial small subunit ribosomal RNA", at positions 524 to 776 of the family's 1533-position model. The record is from RNAcentral.